GACAGAGGCCUCAAGCGUUAGGCGGAAUCACUGGGCUUAAAGCGUGUGUAGGCGGAUCGUUAAGUGUCUUGUGAAAUCCCACGGCUCACCCGUGGAACGGCUGGGCAUACUGGCGAUCUUGGGCCAACUAGGGGCAACUGGAACAAGCGGUGGAGCGGUGAAAUGCGUAGAUAUCGCUUGGAACGCCAAAGGUGAAAGCAGGUUGCUGGGCCGACACUGACGCUGAUAGCGCGAAAGCCAGGGGAGCAAACGGG
This 254-nucleotide ribosomal RNA is filed under the name uncultured bacterium. RNAcentral describes it as "partial 16S ribosomal RNA". It matches the Rfam family "Bacterial small subunit ribosomal RNA", at positions 524 to 776 of the family's 1533-position model. The record is from RNAcentral.